Molecule: ribosomal RNA, 712 nt
Filed under: uncultured bacterium
Lineage: Bacteria
Description: bacterial SSU rRNA
Rfam family: Bacterial small subunit ribosomal RNA
Source: RNAcentral
ACACAUGCAAGUCGAGGGGAAACGACAUCGAAAGCUUGCUUUUGAUGGGCGUCGACCGGCGCACGGGUGAGUAACGCGUAUCCAACCUGCCCAUCACUUGGGGAUAACCUUGCGAAAGUAAGACUAAUACCCAAUGAUAUCUCUAGAAGGCAUCUGAAAGAGAUUAAAGAUUUAUCGGUGAUGGAUGGGGAUGCGUCUGAUUAGCUUGUUGGCGGGGUAACGGCCCACCAAAGCAACGAUCAGUAGGGGUUCUGAGAGGAAGGUCCCCCACAUUGGAACUGAGACACGGUCCAAACUCCUACGGGAGGCAGCAGUGAGGAAUAUUGGUCAAUGGACGAGAGUCUGAACCAGCCAAGUAGCGUGCAGGAUGACGGCCCUAUGGGUUGUAAACUGCUUUUAUAAGGGAAUAAAGUGAGUCUCGUGAGACUUUUUGCAUGUACCUUAUGAAUAAGGACCGGCUAAUUCCGUGCCAGCAGCCGCGGUAAUACGGAAGGUCCGGGCGUUAUCCGGAUUUAUUGGGUUUAAAGGGAGCGUAGGCCGGAGAUUAAGCGUGUUGUGAAAUGUAGAUGCUCAACAUCUGCACUGCAGCGCGAACUGGUUUCCUUGAGUACGCACAAAGUGGGCGGAAUUCGUGGUGUAGCGGUGAAAUGCUUAGAUAUCACGAAGAACUCCGAUUGCGAAGGCAGCUCACUGGAGCGCAACUGACGCUGAA